Molecule: long non-coding RNA, 255 nt
Filed under: Elaeis guineensis (African oil palm)
Lineage: Eukaryota; Viridiplantae; Streptophyta; Magnoliopsida; Arecales; Arecaceae
Description: long non-coding RNA (EGUI_LNC052188)
Source: RNAcentral
CUGCGGAAAUCAGACUCCAACCGAACUUCAGCCGACAAGUCUGGACCCCCUGGCAGGCCGCAGUAACGGCCACGAUUCUGCUCCACUCCCUACGGUGGAUCCUACGCGGCUCCAUUACUCCCUGGUAGGCCGCAAUAAUGGCCACGAUUCUGCUCCACUUCCUGCAACGGAUACUCUGUGCAGUUCCACUACUCCCUGGCGAGUCACGACAACGGACGCCGCUCCACUCCCCACAAAUGAUUCCACAUGGUGAGC